UACUGGAUGUCACUAGAAAAUUACAUCAGUAAAUUGCAAUGGAUACUUUAGUGUACAAAUGUUACUGAGUGCAGAACAAGAGUCCCGGCAGAUUGUUGCAAGUGCCAAAAACACAAUAAUGAAUGUUUAAGAAUUGACAGUGUGCACGACAAGAGAGUGAAGGAGAUGAAUCAUAGUAUUCAAGAAGGAAGAAAAUAGAACCGUGAAAAUUAUAAAGAUAUCUGAUUUCGCAAAACUUUAAUGGGUUCAGUUCUUGGUGCUUGGGGUUUGAUA
Long non-coding RNA from Papaver somniferum (opium poppy), 273 nucleotides. RefSeq lists it as uncharacterized. The transcript has 3 exons. NCBI's taxonomy places the organism in Eukaryota, Viridiplantae, Streptophyta, Magnoliopsida, Ranunculales, Papaveraceae. The record is from RefSeq and is a predicted model, not a curated record.